Molecule: ribosomal RNA, 468 nt
Filed under: uncultured bacterium
Lineage: Bacteria
Description: partial 16S ribosomal RNA
Rfam family: Bacterial small subunit ribosomal RNA
Source: RNAcentral
GACGAACGCUGGCGGCGUGCUUAACACAUGCAAGUCGAACGGAAAGGCCCUGCUUUUGUGGGGUGCUCGAGUGGCGAACGGGUGAGUAACACGUGAGUAACCUGCCCUUGACUUUGGGAUAACUUCAGGAAACUGGGGCUAAUACCGGAUAGGAGCUCCUGCUGCAUGGUGGUGGUUGGAAAGUUUCGGCGGUUGGGGCUGGACUCGCGGCUUAUCAGCUUGUUGGUGGGGUAGUGGCUUACCAAGGCUUUGACGGGUAGCCGGCCUGAGAGGGUGACCGGCCACAUUGGGACUGAGAUACGGCCCAGACGCCUACGGGAGGCAGCAGUGGGGAAUAUUGCGCAGUGGGGGGAAGCCUGAUGCAGCAACGCCGCGUGCGGGAUGACGGCCUUCGGGUUGUAAACCGCUUUCGCCUGUGACGAAGCGUGAGUGACGGUAAUGGGUAAAGAAGCACCGGCUAACUACGUG